AUGGCGCUCACAAUAGCCCAAAGCCUGGCGCUGGGAGGAGUUAGGGGCGUGGGGCAGGAAGCAGCUACUGGGCUUUCGGGGAGAAGGUCGGAGGCGUGGUUACCCAAGAGACCCCACUGGCUUUGGUCAUCAAACUCAAGCAGAGCCCAAUGCUGGGCUGGGGCAAACAAAAUGAGGGCUGAAGACCCAGCGAUUCCAACUUCCCAGUUCAGCUCUUCCUUGGAAACUGGAUCAAAAGGGAGCACAGACUUAACCCAAAUAGUGACAAAAGAUCACACAAGUCAAAAAAAAGAAAGAAAGAAAGAAAGAAACCAAUCCAGUUUGUCACUGUUCCCUCUGAGUUUCUGAGGUCUGAACUUUCGCUGCUUCUACACCGCCGUCUUGACCGGAAGUCCCUGGAUUGAUGCACUUCUAAGCCAAUACAAAGGACAUGAACCUAGUGUGAGACUCGAGGUUGACAUAUGUUAAACGUAGGUCUUCCUUAUAUCCACACUCUUUGUGAAAAUACUUUCAGAAAAGUACCAAAGUUUGGCUAUCAUCCUGGCUCCCUCUAUCCCUGAUAAUAAAGGAAAAAUCAGUCGAGGGAAUGAUACUUCC
This 597-nucleotide long non-coding RNA is filed under the name Monodelphis domestica (gray short-tailed opossum). RNAcentral's name for it is "lncRNA (ENSMODG00000042120.1)". The record is from RNAcentral. Lineage: Eukaryota; Metazoa; Chordata; Mammalia; Didelphimorphia; Didelphidae.